GACGAACGCUGGCGGCGUGCUUAACACAUGCAAGUCGAACGGUGAAAGAAGAGCUUGCUCUUCUGGAUCAGUGGCGAACGGGUGAGUAACACGUGAGUAACCUGCCCCAGACUCUGGAAUAAGCGCUGGAAACGGCGUCUAAUACCGGAUACGAGUCAGAGCUGCAUGGCUACUGUCUGGAAAGUUUUUCGGUCUGGGAUGGACUCGCGGCCUAUCAGCUUGUUGGUGAGGUAACGGCUCACCAAGGCAACGACGGGUAGCCGGCCUGAGAGGGCGACCGGCCACACUGGGACUGAGACACGGCCCAGACUCCUACGGGAGGCAGCAGUGGGGAAUAUUGCACAAUGGGCGAAAGCCUGAUGCAGCGACGCCGCGUGAGGGAUGACGGCCUUCGGGUUGUAAACCUCUUUCAGCAGGGAAGAAGCGAAAGUGACGGUACCUGCAGAAGAAGCACCGGCUAACUACGUG
RNAcentral lists this ribosomal RNA (468 nucleotides) under uncultured bacterium. RNAcentral describes it as "partial 16S ribosomal RNA". It matches the Rfam family "Bacterial small subunit ribosomal RNA", at positions 28 to 507 of the family's 1533-position model. The record is from RNAcentral.